Vicia faba (fava bean) is the source of this 210-nucleotide non-coding RNA. NCBI's taxonomy places the organism in Eukaryota, Viridiplantae, Streptophyta, Magnoliopsida, Fabales, Fabaceae. The record is from the annotation of a GenBank genome assembly.
AUGGACGAUGACAUGAACAACAAACAAGCUCCUUCAAGAACUCAGGUUCGUUCCCGUUAUAUGAUUCCUCUUCUCUUCCUUUUCUGCGAUUUCGAAAUUUGUUCUGAGUUUCGGUUGAUUGCUAUUGAUGAGCGAGGUUGUUGUGAUGUCGCGGAUGAUGAUGAAGAGCGGAGUUGUGAAGAUUGCAAUAGAUUGAUGGAGAAGGUGUAA